Molecule: long non-coding RNA, 915 nt
Organism: Cotesia glomerata
Lineage: Eukaryota; Metazoa; Arthropoda; Insecta; Hymenoptera; Braconidae
Exons: 2
Source: RefSeq, a predicted model, not a curated record
UUUUCUAAAAUCAAUUGUUUUUUUAAUAAAAAUAGUCUUUUAAAAAAACAGAAAUCCAAUCUAAUUUUUUCAAGAAUUUCCGAGUUCUUGUUCUUAAAAAUUCCAUAACUUUUUUUGUAAUCAAAAUUUUAGAACCGGACAAAUUUUGUCUUAAGGUAGAAACAAUAAGCUACAACUUUUAUAUAAAAAGUUUUUUUUUUAAAUCAAUAGUUUCUGAGAUAUUUAAAUAGAGCGGACUGUAAAUCUGAAAAUAAAGAGAAUAUAUAAACUGCCUGAUCUAAAAGAAUAAAAACAUUUAAUUUGUACUUAUCUAUUAACUUAAUCUAGUCAUACAGAUAUUAGCGUAACUUAAUUAUAAUUAAUAAUUAUAAUAAUUAUAAUGACAAACUUUUAUAUUAUUUAACAACACUAACUAAAGAAUAUUGUAUUGAAAUAAAAUAAGUUUUUGACACUAAAAAUGUUUUAGUACCUGUAUUAUUUUAUUUUUUUAUUAUAAUAAUAAAAUUAUCAUAUUACAAUAAUGUAAUAAUAAUAAUAAUAAUGUUGCCGAGUAUCUACAUACUUAAAAUGAUAAUAUAAAAUCACAAAAUAUACAUAUUAAAGAUACGGUUUAGUGAUCAAAAUUACUCUCUGUACUGCACAAAUAAUUGUGCACUGAGUGAAAAUUUUGUCAGAAAGUUAGGAAAUUUUAUUUCCUUAAUGAGUUUUAUGGCCUACUUUGAAUCCAAUUUUGGAGAUUUGAAAUUUGGUCAUCUUUAUUUAACAAUAAAAAAUAGACAACUAAUUAUUUUUAUGUCUUCGCCGGCAUUUUUAGAAUCCUUAGUCUUUAAACUUUAAGAUCCAUUAUGAAUUAUUUUGAAAAAAAAUUUUUUUAGCCAAGUUUUCAGCGCCUCUAGCUCAAAAAAUCCGUUUUUU